This 44-nucleotide transfer RNA is filed under the name Cyrtodactylus brevipalmatus. Its description in RNAcentral is "partial tRNA-Tyr". Lineage: Eukaryota; Metazoa; Chordata; Lepidosauria; Squamata; Gekkonidae. The record is from RNAcentral.
GGCAAGCUGUAGACUUGUUUACGGGGCACCAGCCCCCCCCACCA